Long non-coding RNA from Struthio camelus australis, 1364 nucleotides. NCBI's taxonomy places the organism in Eukaryota, Metazoa, Chordata, Aves, Struthioniformes, Struthionidae. The record is from Ensembl.
CCCAAACGGAGGGGGAACCCGCCCGCACCGCAAGUGCCCCUGUACUGUUCUUCAGCACCUGCCGCUCAAGAGUUUUCUCCACAAGCAGCCAGAAAGAUGUUGGGUCAGGUUGAGCCCCCCCCCGCAAGGACAGAAUUUCCUCACCUGCUCAAAACGCUAAAUCCCGGCGAGUACCGUGACUACAGCAGCCCAGCAGCUCCGCUGGUGAGCAGGCUCUGGAGCCCAGGAGGGAAGUAAGCGAGACUGAGUUGCAGCGCAACAAAUUGCAGAAGAGCCGAAAUCUGCCCCCACCCCCCAGCUGCACUGCACAGCCCGUUUGCGGAUACCAUGUGUCGAGGGACGGCUUGCACAUCGAUGAAGCGGACUAGUAGUGGCAUUUGCUAAUUCACUAACCUCUUUUGAAUGCUGUUGCUCCAGUAGAGAAUAGAGUACAAUAGCAGCACUUUGUCGACAGCUGCUCUGACCCUACUUUGUGUUAUAUCAGCAUCUCCCUUUGCGGUCACUCUUUUAUCUCAGAUCAGUUUUGAAGGCAGGACAGACCUGUCCUUAGUGGAGACCUACUGCUUCUGGCAUACACAAGAUGGCGUGCUGUUGAAAAUGAGCACGGUGAAGCCUUAUUCCGUUUUUGUUCACGGACAGACACCCCAAGCCACGUCAGAGCAGUUGGGCUGACCGCAAGGAAAACGUCUUCUAGCAGAAGAAACUGCAGAGCGUAAAGAGAAAGGGAGAAUCGACACCUCAAGAUCAAGCUUUUUUUCAGAAAUGGCAAGAAAGAUUUGAGGCCCUCAUGCAAGAGCAGGAUUUCCCCUGCCUGCUCAAAAUUUAUGGUAUGAACGUCGCCACACCGCCAGCACCGAGCAGAUGCGGCUAGGCCAGCGACGCCGCAGCCUCGGGAGGACCUAGGGCAGCGUUGGGGCUGUAUCACCGUGCCCCGUAUGGCUCUUGCCCACCUACGUCUGCUGUCGCUGGUCCUGGGGGUACCAGGCCCUCUGACCCACGUUCCCAAACUCACAAAAGCUACGGUUAUUGUGUGAAUAGCAGUAGUGGCCUUCAACGGGAUCAAGUCCCAGCUGCGCUACGUGCAGACGUACAUGCAGACAGGCGGAUGGGUCUGGAUGCGAUGAGCGGAGCAACGGAGGAGACACAAGGCAAGAGCACGGGAGGGGGGGAGGAGGAAGCCUCUGGCUGGCUUUUUCUGCCAGUGCAGUUUCCUGGGGGAAGCAGGGCCAGACGGGUGCCAGCGCACGGGGAGCAGCAGCACCGCAGUCACAGGCGGGGAGAGGGCUGUCUCGGCCAUGACCACAGGUGAAGUCGAGCAGACUAGCUUAAAUAAAUCCCUAACGUUUAAAAGUUAGAGAUAAACU